GACGAACGCUGGCGGCGUGCUUAACACAUGCAGGUCGAACGGAAAGGCCCUGCUUUUGUGGGGUGCUCGAGUGGCGAACGGGUGAGUAACACGUGAGUAACCUGCCCUUGACUUUGGGAUAACUUCAGGAAACUGGGGCUAAUACCGGAUAGGAGCUCCUGCUGCAUGGUGGGGGUUGGAAAGUUUCGGCGGUUGGGGAUGGACUCGCGGCUUAUCAGCUUGUUGGUGGGGUAGUGGCUUACCAAGGCUUUGACGGGUAGCCGGCCUGAGAGGGUGACCGGCCACAUUGGGACUGAGAUACGGCCCAGACUCCUACGGGAGGCAGCAGUGGGGAAUAUUGCACAAUGGGCGGAAGCCUGAUGCAGCAACGCCGCGUGCGGGAUGACGGCCUUCGGGUUGUGAACCGCUUUCGCCUGUGACGAAGCGUGAGUGACGGUAAUGGGUAAAGAAGCACCGGCUAACUACGUG
RNAcentral lists this ribosomal RNA (468 nucleotides) under uncultured bacterium. RNAcentral's name for it is "partial 16S ribosomal RNA". It matches the Rfam family "Bacterial small subunit ribosomal RNA", at positions 28 to 507 of the family's 1533-position model. The record is from RNAcentral.